UACGAAGGGGGCUAGCGUUGCUCGGAAUCACUGGGCGUAAAGGGUGCGUAGGCGGGUCUUUAAGUCAGGGGUGAAAUCCUGGAGCUCAACUCCAGAACUGCCUUUGAUACUGAGGAUCUUGAGUACGGGAGAGGUGAGUGGAACUGCGAGUGUAGAGGUGAAAUUCGUAGAUAUUCGCAAGAACACCAGUGGCGAAGGCGGCUCACUGGCCCGUUACUGACGCUGAGGCCCGAAAGCGUGGGGAGCAAACAGG
RNAcentral lists this ribosomal RNA (253 nucleotides) under uncultured bacterium. Its description in RNAcentral is "partial 16S ribosomal RNA". It matches the Rfam family "Bacterial small subunit ribosomal RNA", at positions 524 to 776 of the family's 1533-position model. The record is from RNAcentral.